Molecule: long non-coding RNA, 862 nt
Filed under: Nicotiana benthamiana
Lineage: Eukaryota; Viridiplantae; Streptophyta; Magnoliopsida; Solanales; Solanaceae
Description: long non-coding RNA (NBEN_LNC021547)
Source: RNAcentral
ACCCAUUAAAAAAUCUAUAUUCCCUUACCCUAAAGAGAAAAAAGAGAGAAUAAUAAAAAAGAGGACCCCCCUUUCUAUCUCCAUGGACACAACUCGGUUUCCACCCAAAAAACCAGACCCCUCUUUCUUCUUCUUCACUAGCUCACCUCACGAAUCCGGACCCUUUCACUCAUACACCUAAACUCACUCAUCUCGCUAAUCUCCCCUAAAUCCCUAACACACGAGUUAGACUGCAAUUUUUUUUUAGAGAUCUUUCAUUAUUUACCUCUCAUUUUUAGUAGAAAAGCUUUUAAAAUUUCAGUCCUAAUAGCUACAGAAAAGACCAAAAAAUGUAAAGAAGAAUUCAAAUUUUCCAUAUUUGUCCUUCGAUUGCACAUCUUUGUUAUACAAAUUUGAUUCACUGCUUGAUUUCCUUGUUCUGCUACUGAGAGCUGAUGCUGAGUUCUACUUUUAUGUUGUAAUUUUAUUUGGUUGUCAAGCUCUACUUUUCAAGUGUUUUCUAAAGGAUUUGGUUGGGAUUUUCUACUGUUUGUUGUUGGCUCUACUUCAAUUAGCAGCUGAACAUAAAUUUGAAGUUUAUUUCUGGUCUCUAUUUGGCUGCUUUUUCUAAAGUUUUAUCGCUACUGUCUAGGUGCUCAUCGCUCUUCUGUUUAUGUGUUCAUCACUAGAAUCAAAGGAGAACAUGUUCAUUUUGUCUAACACUAUCUUUUCCUGCUAAUCUGGUUGCUUUAUUUUUCCUAUUUCUUUAACCUGCUGAUUUUUUUUGUUGCUGCUAUACUGCACAAGUCAGUAGCUGAACAUCAAUUUGAAGUUUAUUUCUGGUCUCUAUUUGGCUGCUUUUUUUUAAAGUUUUAUCGCUACU